This 84-nucleotide transfer RNA is filed under the name Anaerolineae bacterium. Its description in RNAcentral is "tRNA-Leu". It matches the Rfam family "tRNA". From Rfam's summary of the family: Transfer RNA (tRNA) molecules are approximately 80 nucleotides in length. Lineage: Bacteria; Bacillati; Chloroflexota; Anaerolineae. The record is from RNAcentral.
GCCGAAGUGGCGGAACAGGCAUACGCGCGCGACUCAAAAUCGCGUGAGGGUGACCUCAUGUGGGUUCGAUUCCCACCUUCGGCA